GACGAACGCUGGCGGCGUGCUUAACACAUGCAAGUCGAACGGAAAGGCCCUGCUUUUGUGGGGUGCUCGAGUGGCGAACGGGUGAGUAACACGUGAGUACCCUGCCCUUGACUUUGGGAUAACUUCAGGAAACUGGGGCUAAUACCGGAUAGUAGCUCCUGCUGCUUGGUGGGGGUUGGAAAGUUUCGGCGGUUGGGGAUGGACUCGCGGCUUAUCAGCUUGUUGGUGGGGUAGUGGCUUACCAAGGCUUUGACGGGUAGCCGGCCUGAGAGGGUGACCGGCCACAUUGGGCCUGAGAUACGGCCCAGACUCCUACGGGAGGCAGCAGUGGGGAAUAUUGCACGAUGGGCGGAAGCCUGAUGCAGCAACGCCGCGUGCGGGAUGACGGCCUUCGGGUUGUAAACCGCUUUCGCCUGUGACGAAGAGUGAGUGACGGUAAUGGGUAAAGAAGCACCGGCUAACUACGUG
RNAcentral lists this ribosomal RNA (468 nucleotides) under uncultured bacterium. RNAcentral's name for it is "partial 16S ribosomal RNA". It matches the Rfam family "Bacterial small subunit ribosomal RNA", at positions 28 to 507 of the family's 1533-position model. The record is from RNAcentral.